CAUUCUUGAAUUCUCUGAUCGGUGUACCAUCCACAGAAAAGCUGAAAUGGGAGCACAAAUAAGUCAGAAAAACGAGACGAUAUCGUCUAAAUGUGAGGUGUUUGGUAACUGUGAAAUUACUUACAUGAUGCGUUGGGGAUUCCAGAGGAUGGAAUAGGUGUGAAAAUCUGCAGUCGGGUCGAACCAGAGAUAGAAUUGCUGCUCCCUGUUGCCCUUUCCUUGGCCAAACACAUUGGUGUGAAGAAUAUAAGGAUCCCCACUCAGGUUUCCCAAGAACUCGAAGUCUAUCUCAUCAUGGGUUGAUCCUUGAGAUGACAACUGCACAAUACAUAACACAAUAUUAGUUAUAACUUCCCAUCUAUAGUAUCAAGGAAGAAAAAAAGCUAAAAUAUCGUCCAGCUUACAUAAUAGGCAGUGACGGUGCCAGCAGAAUUUCCAGGUACGAGUUUGAGUUGCAUAUCAAUCUUGCCAAAUAGAUACUCAUUCUUGGAUUGAAAUCCAGAGCCAGAAAUUUUAUCAAGUGAGAGAGUCAGAAGUUCUCCAUUGUUGAGUAUCUUAGCUCUUCCAUCUCCCCAUGUGAUAUCAAAAUCUUGAUGGAAAUUACCUCCAAGUGCUAUUACAAAACAGCUACUUAUAACUAAAACUAAAGAAACUGAAUUCAAAGAAGCCAUUAUUGAAGAGUUGAAUUGCGUUGGCAAAGUAUAAUGAAUAAAUCUAAGAAGAUUUGGUGUUUAAGAUUGUUGUUUGAUGUUGGAAUAGGAUCCAUUCAAGGGUAUUUAUAGGGAGUUUGUGGGGUCUGUAGAAAUUGCAGGGAGGGUUCCAUAAAUUCAAGUUGUGUGGUGAAAAGUGUUUGAGCUGGAUACAGAUAUUGGCCAAAACGAGUUGCUGUCAACAGUUUUUUGUAUAUCCAGUGACAACCCAUUUCGCCUUUUAAUAUUUAUUAUUAAUACCACAGUCUACACUGUUCUGAUAAUAUUGUCCUAAGUGUAAGCUUUUGACUAGAGUACAACUGAUUUACCUUUCAAAUAGUAAUACCUCUACAAUUUAAAAUAGAUAUCGAUUCAUUUACAUACUGAUACAUCUAUAAUUCAAAGGAAUCAAACCGGACAAGAUCCAAAAUCGCUCGAUUUGCUCCAAUUAAAUUUUCCAUUGUCUACAGAACCUACUUGUCCAUUUUGAAAUUCUCAAUGGGAUUUGGUUCGGUUCAAGUUCUCAAGAAACUCAGGUUGAACAAGCUGGUAUCCACCCCUAAUAUUAAUUACUUUAAAGGUCCUUACCUUUAUCAUUUUCUUAUUUACAUCUUUAACUUUUUCAUCACAUCUUUAUUUUUAACAUUUCCUUAGCUAGCAAAUAUUAUCCUUAAUCGCAAUUUUCUUGCACAAAUGUUAUUAACGUGCUCUAAAAUGAGGAAUAAAUAUAUAGUUGUAAUUCUAUUUUUUUGGCUUAUUUAAAAAUACAAUGGUAAAUGUCUUUAUUUUAUUUGGACAAAAACCGCAAUAAGGGACAAGUUGUGUUAAUUUGAGAAUAAGAAUACAGUUUUAAAAAAUUAAGACAUAAAUGUGAUAAUGAUUAAAUAUUACAAACAUUUUCAUGCAAUCAAAAUGUGUUGUAAUUAUUAAAAAAUAUUUUGUGAAUAUAUUUAGCUUUACUAAAUAAUCACACACUGAAUAGAAGUUUUGGUUUAAGACAUAUUUCGUUUUCUUUAAGUUUAUCGAUUCAGCUCAAUCAAUUAUCAACAACCCUCAAAUUUGUUACUUAGCCCCUGUUUGAGCCACAUUUUUACUUCAUUAAAAUGAAAAAUAUGACCGUUAUUCAUCACAUCAAGCCACAAUUUUUGAAUUUCUAUCUCUGGUGUGGGGGCCCAUAACGGUUCUAUUUCUCAUUCUCAUUCUCAUUAUAAUGUGGCUCAAAUAGGCUCUUAAUAAUAAAUGUUUUAGCAUUAAACUAAUCAAAUAAGCCAUUAAUUUUUCAAUAGAGAUUUUAAAUUUUGAAAUAGACAUCAUCAAAUUGUAUUUGGUUCUUUAUUAGUGUUAUAACUUUUUUAUUUUUACAUUCUAAAAAAUAUAUAAUAAUAAUCGUUAUCUAGGUUUCCUCCAGAUAUCAUUAUUGGAUUCGGUAAAGAGAUCUGGCCACUGAAUUCACCAUUGUUCUUGUCCUACAUUGACAUUUAUUUUGUGGACUUUGGCUUUACUAGUUUUAUUGUUGUCUAGUUACAAUCUAUGCAUUACGCUCUAUUGGUUACUCUAUUUCAAAUCCAUUUAUAAAAAUUCUUUAGUUUUUUGAGAAAAACAUUAGUUCGAUCUAGAAAGAUUUGAUUAAAGUGAAGGUGAUCGACGACGAUGAGUUCACUUUUGCUUUUGUUACAAGGGAUUUCCGGAGAAUUUGAUUAAGCCCCUGUUUUCUUGAAAUUAAAAUAAAUAAAUAAAUAAAUAAAUAAAUUUUUAGUAGAUUUUGAUAAAAGUUGAUUAAAUAUGUGGUUGAAAAGUUGUGAAUCUAAUGAAAUGUAUAAUUAAAGAGUUUAACUCGUAUUUUAAUUAUUUUUUAGCUGAGCCAAAAAGAGGGCUAAAUUUUAGAAACUUCCCUCGUUGAUAUAAGAGAUUUUUGGGAAUUUUAGGAGUGUCUUAAGUAUUAGAUGUGACUCAUGCCUUAUAAUCGUUUGGAGGCGGGUCAAGUAACUUUGGUGCAAUAGGUCGAGUCUUGUGUUAACAUUAACAAUAUUAGUGUUGAUUAUUAAAUUGAAAAUUAUUUGAAUGGAAUAAAGCCUCGAAGGGGAUUAUCGAUUGUACUACCAAAAGUGUGACACAAUGAACUUUCGCCAAUAAUUAUUCACAAAAUAUAUUUCAGGUCCACUCAAGCUCUCUCAACGCGGAUUGUUUAUAAAUGUGGCCCCCUUGGCCUUAUAAAAAUAAACCUCAAUAGAAUUGAACUUAUAUAAAUGUACCUCAUUUUAUGAUCAUGAUCAAUUUGAUCAUAUGUAUAAUAUUAACUCUCAGAAUUCUCUACAUAGAUAUUUACAUGAAAGAUUUUAGAAAGUUUGUAUACAAUUACGAAAUUAGCCACUUCAAAUAGGUUCAUUGCUCCAGCUCAAAAUACGAUUAAUCCGACGUUGGCUAUAUAAGCUCCUAGUAGUUUACCGAAUAAUUAAUAACUCGAGCAUUCCCGGCCCACCAAGCAAAAUCGGUGAUUUCUUGGUCAUGAUCAAUUACAGCUAAAGUUCCAAUUUACAUAAUUUCCUUUUAAAAAUCUUCAGUCACAAUCUUUGCACAAUACAAUCCAUUUUCACGCGUCUCUUAACCUUUUAGAAUAAUUAUACAAAAGACUUUCACAAGUAUACUUUCAAAUUACCCCCAACGCAUAUCUAUCAAUGAAUCCCAUUAAGUAAUGUUGUUGAUAAUCCUGCACAAUAAUCAACGAACAAAAAGCAGUAAAUUUAAAAGUUUUUGUAAAAUUGACUAUUGUUUCAAUUUUUUCUCAAAUGUAAUAACAAAAAUUGAUGAAAUUUUGCAGGUGUCAUCAAUGAAAUAAUUUAUAGCAUUCUUCAACAUAGAUUAUGUUAAAUAUUCUUGAAAGAAUGAGAAUUUCAAGAUAUUUUUUGUGGUUAAAUCACCUCACUUUUUCAAACUUAGAAAUCUCCAUUAUUAGCAAUAGUUCCAAUAUCAAUCAUAAUGAAAAAAAGAUUAUUAUCAACAAUCUAUGUUAGAAUUUAUUGAAUGAAAUUAAACUCCAUAAAAUAAAAGAAAGAGGCACUCCAUGAUUGGAGGAGAAGAAACCUCCAUGAAAGGAGGGAUUGGAAUUCCACAAUACAAUUAUUUAUUAAUGAAUACAAUCACUCCAUUUAUAGAGAAAAAAGAUGAGUAAUUAACUGACUAAUUUGCUAAUUAACAGGCUAAUCACUAACUAAUUAACAUCCUAGACAUGAGCUGAAAUAUUCGAAAUUUGCUGUAACAUAUUUCUAACACACCCCCUCAAGAUGGACUAUAGAUAUCAACAAUAGUUCAUCUUGAAGAUUAAAGAGUGUACUGGAGGGAAAAACCAUGAUGAAUAGCCUUGCAGAACAAAUCUCUUGAAUCCAUAUAUAUGAGCAUCCAUUAGAUCAGCACGAAACAUCACCAAACAUUCCAUUCCCAUUCCAUUUCGUGCCAGUGCACAAUGCUUUCAGAGUUGAGGAGACUUGUUUUGUAUGGAAAACUUGGUAAGGUUCAUAAUGUAGAAAGGGAUGAUGUUCUCAAUGGAAGCAAACUGGCGGGUCAUUAGAUUUCACCAGAUCUGAUGGAUAAACAAGACUUAGUGUAGGCUUUGACCAUCCAUAAAGAUCUUUGAAAGUUUAGAGAACCAAAAUCUGAAAGAGAAGAAAUUUUAUUGUAGAGAAUCAAGGACGAAUUUUGAUGUUGCUGGCGCCAUUUUCUGAAGACGGGAACUGAACUUUUGCUGGAAUAACACUUUCCAGAAUUAUGCUAAAAUAGAAGAAAUUAGAGAUCUGUUUUCAUUUGUACAGAACACAGAAAGAGGGGAUGAAAAUCUCAAAAAAACACAGCAACAGGAAGAACUCUGCUCUGAUACUAUGUUAGAAUUUAUUGAAUGAAAUUAAACUCCAUAAAGCAGAAGAAAGAGGCACUCCAUGAUUGGAGGAGACGAAACCUCCAUGAAAGGAGGGAUUGGAAUUCCACAAUCCAAUUAUUUAUUAAUGAAUACAAUGACUCCAUUUAUAGAGAAAAAAUAUGAGUAAUUAACUGACUAAUUUGCUAAUUAACAGGUUAAUCACUAACUAAUUAACAUCCUAGACAUGAGCUGGAAUAUUCUAAAUUUGCUGUAACAUAUUUCUAACAAUCUAGGUACCAAAUUUGGUGAAUUUUCAUACCAAAUUUGUGGUUCUAGCUACUUUCAAUUUUGAUGGUAUUUCCUAUACGAAUUUUCACAAUUUUUCUUGCCACAUUUUUUCUCUCGUCCAAGACAAGACAUGAAAGUUGAGGAAGGUUGCGAGAAGUUAUAAGUUUAAAUUCCAAAUUCAAACCACUCCAACCCGUGGAGUUUCACUUGAUAGUUUUAUGAAGUUUUCACUUGAACGUUGUAAACCAAAAUACUAUUUACAAGUGCAACAUAAAAUUGGACAGGGAGCAUGAAAAACGAGGUGCUUGCAAGGCAAUGUGAAAUAAGAGAGAGUAACAGUGACUGAAAAUUUUAUGGUCAAUUUUGUGAUAGCUGAUGUUCAUAUUGGACUUGUAUGAUUUAUAAAAUUAUCAUUAAUUCAUAAUUUCCCAAUCGUCUUUUGCUAAUAAUAUAUUCUAAUGUAUAUAAACUUGUUAAGGACUUGCAUGUAAAUAGUUAUGUAAUUUUUUAACUUUCAUGUCAGUUUGCCCCCAUUUGGUGGCCAUUAUUGAAAGAAAAUGAUGUUUUGAAUAGUGAUUUUUUUUGGAAAAUACGUGAUUAAAUUUUAGUUAAAUGUCUGAAAGAAAGCAAAGGAACAUGUGAUAACUUUCCAAUAUGUUGAUCUGUCGGGAAAAAUUAUAUAGACUCUAAAAUUAUUUCCAACUGGGGAUGCUAAUAAUAUAUUCUAAUGUAUAUAAACUUUUAUUUCUUACAGAUGAUUACAAGUAAAAGAACAAAAGAAUUACUACUUUACUAGACUCCAAACAAAUCAAUAAAUGUAAUAUUCCUGUGCCUAAAUUAAUCAAACUUCAGAAAAUUAAUUCUUUUUAAGCUGAGGUGUUAAUACUACACUCUGGAGGAAAUCCUUGCGAGAAUCGCUUUGAAUCAGAGCAAUAAUUAUAUAUCAUGUAAUUUUUCUGCACCCAUUUUAGCCUCUCUUGGCUUGUGGAAUCCAAUUCUUCAUUCAGCCAUGAAUUGCUGCUACUUGAAGUAGAAGAUGGAGUGCAAGAAGAUGAACCCGAUGAGGACGAAACACAUGCAUCUGCAUUGAAAUUUCUGUAGGAUGCAGUAAACGGAGCCUGACUCCAGUCGGUUUUCACAAGCCCCCCUCUUGUUGCCCAAUCGUCAGCAUUCCACAAGCUAGAGUAAAUUCUCAUGGGUUGGUUCUUUGGGUAUGCAACACCUAGAGACUCAGCAUUCUUGAAUUCUCUGAUCGGUGUACCAUCCACAGAAAAGCUGAAAUGGGAGCACAAAUAAGUCAGAAAAACGAGACGAUAUCGUCUAAAUGUGAGGUGUUUGGUAACUGUGAAAUUACUUACAUGAUGCGUUGGGGAUUCCAGAGGAUGGAAUAGGUGUGAAAAUCUGCAGUCGGGUCGAACCAGAGAUAGAAUUGCUGCUCCCUGUUGCCCUUUCCUUGGCCAAACACAUUGGUGUGAAGAAUAUAAGGAUCCCCACUAAGGUUUCCCAAGAACUCGAAGUCUAUCUCAUCAUGGGUUGAUCCUUGAGAUGACAACUGCACAAUACAUACACAAUAUUAGUUAUAACUUCCCAUCUAUAGUAUCAAGAAAGAAAAAAAGCUAAAAUAUCGUCCAGCUUACAUAAUAGGCAGUGACGGUGCCAGCAGAAUUUCCAG
Molecule: long non-coding RNA, 6499 nt
Filed under: Olea europaea (common olive)
Lineage: Eukaryota; Viridiplantae; Streptophyta; Magnoliopsida; Lamiales; Oleaceae
Description: long non-coding RNA (OEUR_LNC015172)
Source: RNAcentral